GAACUAACAAGGAUUCCCUUAGUAGCUGCGAGCGAACAGGGAAAAGCCCAGCACUGAAUCUCGGAGGCAUCGCUUCUUGAGAAAUGUGGUGUUUGGGAGGGUUCAUAUACCCGAUACCGUCGCACCGCGUCCAAGUCCAUCUUGAAAGAGGCCACGGUCCCGAGAGGGUGCCAGGCCCGUGGUAGGCCGGUGCAGGUGUUGGGUGAACCUCUCCUUAGAGUCAGGUUGCUUGAGAGUGCAGCCCUAAGCGGGUGGUAAACUCCAUCUAAGGCUAAAUACAACCACGAGACCGAUAGCGAACAAGUACCGUGAGGGAAAGUUGAAAAGAACUUUGAAGAGAGAGUUCAAGAGUACGUGAAACCGCUCAGGGGUAAACGGAAAAGAGCCGAAAUUUCCGAAAAGGGAGAUUCACGUCUUCUCGCAGGUUCGACGCAUCCGCUUUCCUCCGACGGUUCUGCUCUCGUUCGGAUUCGUCCGGUGCGUUGUAGUGGAGCUGCAGGAAGUGGUGUGAAGGCCAGCGGCGGACCGCACUUCUCCCUUAGUAGGACGUCGUGACCCGCCCAGCCAUGGUCUUACGGUCGCAGGGUGGAGCCUCUUUGUGGCGUGCUUGCACGUUUUCGAGGAGACCCCCGUGUCCCGGCCAUGGUUUUACUGGACGGUAUCAAAUGACGAUGUUCGGCCUCUCUUCGGCGGGGGAAACCCUUGCCAGUGAGCGCGACUUGAUCUUUGGACAAGGAUUUGAGAUGUUUCAGUCAAGGCGGACUUCCGUCCGUCUGGCUGCUCUCGGCCCUGUUGGUUUGAGGAUCUCUCGUUUGGCCUAUUUGCAUCUGUCUACGGCGAAUCAGUUUUGGGUUCUUGUCCGACCCGUCUUGAAACACGGACCAAGGAGUUCAGCGUGUACGCGAGUCAUUGGGUGUCAAAACCUAAAGGCAUAAUGAAAGUGAAGGAAACUUCUCGUUUCUUAGGGAGGAUGAGAUGGUUACUCGCAAGAGGCCUCUCCGCACUCCCGGGGCGUCUCUUUCUCAUUGCGAGUGGAGGCGCACCUAGAGCGUACACGCUGAUACCCGAAAGAUGGUGAACUAUGCCUGGCCAGGACGAAGCCAGGGGAAACCCUGGUGGAGGUCCGCAGCGAUUCUGACGUGCAAAUCGAUCGUCGGAGCUGGGUAUAGGGGCGAAAGACCAAUCGAACCAUCUAGUAGCUGGUUCCCUCCGAAGUUUCCCUCAGGAUAGCUUGCGCUCAUGUGAAACGAGUCUCAUCCGGUAGAGCGAAUGAUUAGAGGCCUUGGGGUCGAAACGACCUCAACCUAUUCUCAAACUCCAAAUAGAUGAGAACUCCGGCUUCCUUGUAUUUGUUUUGAAGCCGGGGGCUCGGAUCAGAGUGCCAAGUGGGCCAAUUUUGGUAAGCAGAACUGGC
This 1414-nucleotide ribosomal RNA is filed under the name Sejanus brittoni. Its description in RNAcentral is "eukaryotic LSU rRNA". It matches the Rfam family "Eukaryotic large subunit ribosomal RNA", at positions 56 to 1154 of the family's 3401-position model. The record is from RNAcentral. Lineage: Eukaryota; Metazoa; Arthropoda; Insecta; Hemiptera; Miridae.